This 521-nucleotide ribosomal RNA is filed under the name uncultured bacterium. Its description in RNAcentral is "partial 16S ribosomal RNA". It matches the Rfam family "Bacterial small subunit ribosomal RNA", at positions 28 to 523 of the family's 1533-position model. The record is from RNAcentral.
GACGAACGCUGGCGGCGUGCCUAAUACAUGCAAGUCGAGCGGGCCUCCGGAGGUGCCUGCACCUCCGGAAGGCCAGCGGCGGACGGGUGAGUAACACGUGGGCAACCUGCCUUUGAGGCCGGGAUAACACCGGGAAACCGGUGCUAAUACCGGAUACGUCCUCUUUCGCGCCUGCGAGAGGGGAGAAAGACGGUCUUUAAGGCCGUCGCUCAAAGAGGGGCCCGCGGCGCAUUAGCUGGUUGGUGGGGUAAGGGCCUACCAAGGCGACGAUGCGUUGCCGACCUGAGAGGGUGAGCGGCCACACUGGGACUGAGACACGGCCCAGACUCCUGCGGGAGGCAGCAGUAGGGAAUCAUCCGCAAUGGGCGAAAGCCUGACGGUGCAACGCCGCGUGAGUGAGGAAGGUUUUCGGAUCGUAAAGCUCUGUUGUGAGGGAAGAACAGCUUCCGGAGGAAAUGCCGGAGGUUUGCCGGUACCUCACCAGAAAGCCCCGGCUAACUACGUGCCAGCCGCCGCAGUAA